RNAcentral lists this ribosomal RNA (433 nucleotides) under uncultured bacterium. RNAcentral's name for it is "partial 16S ribosomal RNA". It matches the Rfam family "Bacterial small subunit ribosomal RNA", at positions 29 to 507 of the family's 1533-position model. The record is from RNAcentral.
AACGAACGCUGGCGGCAUGCCUAACACAUGCAAGUCGAACGAAGGCUUCGGCCUUAGUGGCGCACGGGUGCGUAACACGUGGGAAUCUGCCCUUUGGUUCGGAAUAACAGCUGGAAACGGCUGCUAAUACCGGAUGAUGACGAAAGUCCAAAGAUUUAUCGCCAGAGGAUGAGCCCGCGUUGGAUUAGGUAGUUGGUGGGGUAAAGGCCUACCAAGCCGACGAUCCAUAGCUGGUCUGAGAGGAUGAUCAGCCACACUGGGACUGAGACACGGCCCAGACUCCUACGGGAGGCAGCAGUGGGGAAUAUUGGACAAUGGGCGCAAGCCUGAUCCAGCAAUGCCGCGUGAGUGAUGAAGGCCCUAGGGUUGUAAAGCUCUUUUACCCGGGAAGAUAAUGACUGUACCGGGAGAAUAAGCCCCGGCUAACUCCGUG